GAUGAACGCUGGCGGCGUGCCUAAUACAUGCAAGUCGAGCGAACAGACGAGGAGCUUGCUCCUCUGACGUUAGCGGCGGACGGGUGAGUAACACGUGGAUAACCUACCUAUAAGACUGGGAUAACUUCGGGAAACCGGAGCUAAUACCGGAUAAUAUAUUGAACCGCAUGGUUCAAUAGUGAAAGACGGUUUUGCUGUCACUUAUAGAUGGAUCCGCGCCGCAUUAGCUAGUUGGUAAGGUAACGGCUUACCAAGGCAACGAUGCGUAGCCGACCUGAGAGGGUGAUCGGCCACACUGGAACUGAGACACGGUCCAGACUCCUACGGGAGGCAGCAGUAGGGAAUCUUCCGCAAUGGGCGAAAGCUUGACGAAGCAACGCCGCGUGAGUGAUGAAGGUCUUCGGAUCGUAAAACUCUGUUAUUAGGGAAGAACAAAUGUGUAAGUAACUAUGCACGUCUUGACGGUACCUAAUCAGAAAGCCACGGCUAACUACGUG
This 497-nucleotide ribosomal RNA is filed under the name uncultured bacterium. RNAcentral describes it as "partial 16S ribosomal RNA". It matches the Rfam family "Bacterial small subunit ribosomal RNA", at positions 28 to 507 of the family's 1533-position model. The record is from RNAcentral.